This 450-nucleotide ribosomal RNA is filed under the name uncultured bacterium. RNAcentral's name for it is "bacterial SSU rRNA". It matches the Rfam family "Bacterial small subunit ribosomal RNA", at positions 354 to 796 of the family's 1533-position model. The record is from RNAcentral.
GUGGGGAAUAUUGGACAAUGGGCGAAAGCCUGAUCCAGCCAUGGCGCGUGUGUGAAGAAGGUCUUCGGAUUGUAAAGCACUUUAAGUUGGGAGGAAGGGCAUUAACCUAAUACGUUAGUGUUUUGACGUUACCGACAGAAUAAGCACCGGCUAACUUCGUGCCAGCAGCCGCGGUAAUACGAAGGGUGCAAGCGUUAAUCGGAAUUACUGGGCGUAAAGCGCGCGUAGGUGGUUCGUUAAGUUGGAUGUGAAAGCCCCGGGCUCAACCUGGGAACUGCAUCCAAAACUGGCGAGCUAGAGUACGGUAGAGGGUGGUGGAAUUUCCUGUGUAGCGGUGAAAUGCGUAGAUAUAGGAAGGAACACCAGUGGCGAAGGCGACCACCUGGACUGAUACUGACACUGAGGUGCGAAAGCGUGGGGAGCAAACAGGAUUAGAAACCCCAGUAGUCC